UGAGGAAUAUUGGUCAAUGGGCGAGAGCCUGAACCAGCCAAGUAGCGUGCAGGAUGACGGCCCUAUGGGUUGUAAACUGCUUUUAUGCGGGGAUAAAGUGCGCGACGUGUCGUGCAUUGCAGGUACCGCAUGAAUAAGGACCGGCUAAUUCCGUGCCAGCAGCCGCGGUAAUACGGAAGGUCCGGGCGUUAUCCGGAUUUAUUGGGUUUAAAGGGAGCGUAGGCCGCCAGGUAAGCGUGUUGUGAAAUGUACCGGCUCAACCGGUGAAUUGCAGCGCGAACUGUCUGGCUUGAGUGCACGGUAAGCAGGCGGAAUUCAUGGUGUAGCGGUGAAAUGCUUAGAUAUCAUGAAGAACUCCGAUUGCGAAGGCAGCUUGCUGCAGUGCGACUGACGCUGAUGCUCGAAGGUGCGGGUAUCAAACAGG
This 424-nucleotide ribosomal RNA is filed under the name uncultured Prevotella sp. Its description in RNAcentral is "bacterial SSU rRNA". It matches the Rfam family "Bacterial small subunit ribosomal RNA", at positions 355 to 776 of the family's 1533-position model. Lineage: Bacteria; Pseudomonadati; Bacteroidota; Bacteroidia; Bacteroidales; Prevotellaceae. The record is from RNAcentral.